UUAGCAAUUCUCUAUAAGAGAGUCGGGCUUGCGUGUGUUGCAACGUUAAUCGCCACUGUUUUAUCUAUAGUUAUAACAAUCCUGUUUGCAAGAGUUGAAGAACUUUAUCAAGAUAAAUUAAUGGUCUAGAGGUGACAGAAUGAGAAAGACUUUUGAGUGUCUUAGAAAUAUGAGGAUUUUGAAACCACAAGCAUGGGAAGAUAAGUAUAAAAUAAGAUUGGAAGAAAUGAGAAGUGUGGAGUUUAAAUGGCUCAAAAAGAGAUUAUAUUCACAAGCAUUUAUCACUUCUAAUUUUGGAGCUCACCUAUCUUCGUGGCGGCGGUUACUUUUGGGCUUUAAUCUUGAUUGGUGGUCAACUUACAGCGGGAGGGAUGCUUUCGGCGUUAGCCACUUUCAGGAUUCUUCAAGAACCGUUAAGGAAUUUUCCUGAUUUGGUUUCAGUGAUGGCUUAAACAAAAGCUUCUCUUGAUUGAAUCAUGGGUUUUCUGCAAGAGGAAGAGUUGCUAGAAGAUGCAACGAUUGUGUCACCACACGGGAUGUCUAAGGUGGCAAUUGAACUUAAAGAUGGUGACUUUCAGUGGGACCCAAGGCCGACAUUGUCUAAUAUCUAGAUGAAAGUUGAGAAAGGGAUGCGUAUGGCGGUUUGUUGCAGUGUGGGGUCCGGAGGAUAGAGUUUUCUUUCUUGUAUUCUUGGUGAAAUUCUGAAAAUCUAUGGUGAAUUAUGGUUUAGUUUCGAAUAUGUGGGUUUGCAGCUUACCUAUCCCAGUGAGCAUGGAUACAAUCAGGAAAUAAUGAAGAAAAUAUCUUAUUCAAUAAUCCAAUGGAUAAGGCUAAAUACAAAAAAAAAAAAAAAAAAAAAAAAAAAAAAAAAAAAAA
Helianthus annuus (common sunflower) is the source of this 876-nucleotide long non-coding RNA. RefSeq lists it as uncharacterized. The transcript has 2 exons. The record is from RefSeq and is a predicted model, not a curated record. NCBI's taxonomy places the organism in Eukaryota, Viridiplantae, Streptophyta, Magnoliopsida, Asterales, Asteraceae.